GUAACGGUGUCUUUAGACACCACCCUCUAUCUUCAAAAUAUUUUUU
Molecule: non-coding RNA, 46 nt
Organism: Picea glauca (white spruce)
Lineage: Eukaryota; Viridiplantae; Streptophyta; Pinopsida; Pinales; Pinaceae
Source: Rfam